UCCAGACUCCUACGGGAGGCAGCAGUGAGGAAUAUUGGUCAAUGGCUGGAAGGCUGAACCAGCCAUGCCGCGUGAAGGUCAGUGCCCUAUGGGCGUUAAACUUCUUUUGUGCGGGAGCAAUAAUGGUCACGUGUGGCCAGACGAGAGUACCGUACGAAUAAGCAUCGGCUAACUCCGUGCCAGCAGCCGCGGUAAUACGGGGGAUGCAAGCGUUAUCCGGAUUUACUGGGUGUAAAGGGCGUGUAGCCGGGCUGACAAGUCAGAUGUGAAAUCCGGGGGCUCAACCCCCGAACUGCAUUUGAAACUGUUGGUCUUGAGUAUCGGAGAGGCAGGCGGAAUUCCUAGUGUAGCGGUGAAAUGCGUAGAUAUUAGGAGGAACACCAGUGGCGAAGGCGGCCUGCUGGACGACAACUGACGGUGAGGCGCGAAAGCGUGGGGAGCAAACAGGAUUAGAUACCCCUGUA
RNAcentral lists this ribosomal RNA (464 nucleotides) under uncultured bacterium. RNAcentral's name for it is "bacterial SSU rRNA". It matches the Rfam family "Bacterial small subunit ribosomal RNA", at positions 330 to 792 of the family's 1533-position model. The record is from RNAcentral.